AGUUAGAUGGCUGAAAUAUAAGCUUUAAACUGUAAAUUUAACGAUGGAAGAUUUGUGACUUCCUCUAACUA
RNAcentral lists this transfer RNA (71 nucleotides) under Lysmata vittata. Its description in RNAcentral is "tRNA-Tyr". The record is from RNAcentral. Lineage: Eukaryota; Metazoa; Arthropoda; Malacostraca; Decapoda; Hippolytidae.